Molecule: small nucleolar RNA, 84 nt
Filed under: Setaria italica (foxtail millet)
Lineage: Eukaryota; Viridiplantae; Streptophyta; Magnoliopsida; Poales; Poaceae
Also listed under: 1 other name
Source: RNAcentral
UGCAAUCUGUGAUGCAACUAUUCCCAUUACAUGAAUCACUGUGAUUAUUAUGAAAAAAAUCACCAUCUUUCGGCUGAGAUUGCA